Molecule: ribosomal RNA, 469 nt
Filed under: uncultured bacterium
Lineage: Bacteria
Description: partial 16S ribosomal RNA
Rfam family: Bacterial small subunit ribosomal RNA
Source: RNAcentral
GGACGAACGCUGGCGGCGUGCUUAACACAUGUAAGUCGAACGGAAAGGCCCUGCUUUUGUGGGGUGCUCGAGUGGCGAACGGGUGAGUAACACGUGAGUAACCUGCCCUUGACUUUGGGAUAACUUCAGGAAACUGGGGCUAAUACCGGAUAGGAGCUCCUGCUGCAUGGUGGGGGUUGGAAAGUUUCGGCGGUUGGGGAUGGACUCGCGGCUUAUCAGCUUGUUGGUGGGGUAGUGGCUUACCAAGGCUUUGACGGGUAGCCGGCCUGAGAGGGUGACCGGCCACAUUAGGACUGAGAUACGGCCCAGACUCCUACGGGAGGCAGCAGUGGGGAAUAUUGCACAAUGGGCGGAAGCCUGAUGCAGCAACGCCGCGUGCGGGAUGACGGCCUUCGGGUUGUAAACCGCUUUCGCCUGUGACGAAGCGUGAGUGACGGUAAUGGGUAAAGAAGCACCGGCUAACUACGUG